GCGUCACAACAAGCCUGAGCCUCCCGUUACGAUGACGACGACGAUUUUGCCCUCCUGAACCGUGACUACGAGAUGUCCUCAGUCAGCCACCACGAGCUGUCCUUGCUAGCCGUACGCAUGAGCAUUAAGCCAAGACCUCAGUGACGCUUGAGCCAUGCACCACCGCUGAGUUUCGGGCACUGCCAAUCACCAUCCAAUCUGUUGUGCACCAGUUCGAAUUUGGGAACAAAUCCUCCGAAUUAGGUAAUAAUCGUUAUCUGAUUCCAUUGAAUAUCUUGUUGCCUGAUUUGAUUUUUCCAUCCAUUUAGUCAAUAUCUUUAAGUGAUAGGCAUUUCCUCAAAUUAGGAUAUAUUUCCUAAUUCACAAUUGCACAUGAUUUUUAAUCAUCCGCUAAGAUUGCGAAGUAUAGUAUAGUAUAGAAAUUGAUGAAUUUAAUCACAAUUCCAACAUGAAAAGAUGAACGCCCAAUUUUCUUCACAACCAGAUUAAAAAGUCGUCAGUGUGGAAUAAUUGGGUUGGUAAAAACUUGCAUCCAUCCUUCAAUUUUUGAAAUUGACAGUGACGUACUUUUCUCAUCCCUAUAUAAUUGAAGGUCCCUCAUCUCAUGUAUAUUGUCUCCUUCCUACUACUAUUGACACCACCAAUGGUUAAGUUCUUGCUUCUCUUCAGGACAUAGUGAGGAAAUCAACGGCGAGCAAU
RNAcentral lists this long non-coding RNA (699 nucleotides) under Eucalyptus grandis. RNAcentral describes it as "long non-coding RNA (EGRA_LNC003168)". Lineage: Eukaryota; Viridiplantae; Streptophyta; Magnoliopsida; Myrtales; Myrtaceae. The record is from RNAcentral.